UGACUUCUCUCCGAUGCCAGAUGAUGU
RNAcentral lists this non-coding RNA (27 nucleotides) under Mus musculus (house mouse). Lineage: Eukaryota; Metazoa; Chordata; Mammalia; Rodentia; Muridae. The record is from RNAcentral.